Molecule: ribosomal RNA, 253 nt
Filed under: uncultured bacterium
Lineage: Bacteria
Description: partial 16S ribosomal RNA
Rfam family: Bacterial small subunit ribosomal RNA
Source: RNAcentral
UAAGGAGGGUGCAAACGUUGCUCGGAAUUAUUGGGCGUAAAGCGCGUGUAGGCGGUUAUCUAAGUCAAGUGUGAAAUCCCUGGGCUUAACCCAGGAAUUGCGCUUGAUACUGGACAACUAGAGUACAGGAGAGGAUAGCGGAAUUCCCGGUGUAGAGGUGAAAUUCGUAGAUAUCGGGAGGAACACCAGUGGCGAAGGCGGCUAUCUGGACUGAUACUGACGCUGAGACGCGAAAGCGUGGGGAGCAAACAGG